RNAcentral lists this ribosomal RNA (253 nucleotides) under uncultured bacterium. Its description in RNAcentral is "partial 16S ribosomal RNA". It matches the Rfam family "Bacterial small subunit ribosomal RNA", at positions 524 to 776 of the family's 1533-position model. The record is from RNAcentral.
UACGGAGGGUGCAAGCGUUAUCCGGAUUCACUGGGUUUAAAGGGUGCGUAGGAGGGCUGGUAAGUCAGUGGUGAAAUCCCCGAGCUUAACUUGGGAACUGCCGUUGAUACUAUCAGUCUUGAAUACCGUGGAGGUGAGCGGAAUAUGUCAUGUAGCGGUGAAAUGCUUAGAUAUGACAUAGAACACCAAUUGCGAAGGCAGCUCGCUACACGAAUAUUGACUCUGAGGCACGAAAGCGUGGGGAUCAAACAGG